RNAcentral lists this unclassified non-coding RNA (536 nucleotides) under Hevea brasiliensis (rubber tree). Lineage: Eukaryota; Viridiplantae; Streptophyta; Magnoliopsida; Malpighiales; Euphorbiaceae. The record is from RNAcentral.
UUUGCAGACAAGGCGACGACUGUGACUAUUCUCUUAUUGCUUUGGCACAGAUAUACAGAUAAAUUGAAUAUAAUUGGUCAUCUUACGGACAGUGGUACCAUGGAAAAUGUAACUGGCUCACAGUCUAAACCUCNAGUCUAAACCUCAAUGGCAGCAAAGGGGAAAUGAAGAGAAGAAGGCAGCAGUUCAUGAAGAAAUGAAGAGAAUGAACCAACUUCCUGUAAACAGCACUUAUGCUACCCAUCGCCUGCGAGUUCUCAACAAAAUUCUGCAACUUUUAUCCAUUCAGAGGACUGUCUCACAGGAAGAGGAAUUGGAGUUGCUUUUUGCUGGGCUGCAUCUGUAAAAUUGUCUGUGCAAUUGCAGGUGACCCGUGCAAUUUUUUCUUGUAAUCAGGUUAAAUUUGUAACUACUAUGUAUGUUGUGUCUUUAAACUUUGAGCAUUGAUUGCUAUGGCUUUAGGUAUAGCUCCUAGUUAUGUUAGACUACAUUGUAAGUUACAGAGUUCCAAGUUCUGUGAUGAUGACAAAUUGUUU